RNAcentral lists this ribosomal RNA (479 nucleotides) under uncultured bacterium. RNAcentral's name for it is "bacterial SSU rRNA". It matches the Rfam family "Bacterial small subunit ribosomal RNA", at positions 80 to 544 of the family's 1533-position model. The record is from RNAcentral.
UUGCUCCUCUGACGUUAGCGGCGGACGGGUGAGUAACACGUGGAUAACCUACCUAUAAGACUGGGAUAACUUCGGGAAACCGGAGCUAAUACCGGAUAAUAUAUUGAACCGCAUGGUUCAAUAGUGAAAGACGGUUUUGCUGUCACUUAUAGAUGGAUCCGCGCCGCAUUAGCUAGUUGGUAAGGUAACGGCUUACCAAGGCAACGAUGCGUAGCCGACCUGAGAGGGUGAUCGGCCACACUGGAACUGAGACACGGUCCAGACUCCUACGGGAGGCAGCAGUAGGGAAUCUUCCGCAAUGGGCGAAAGCUUGACGGAGCAACGCCGCGUGAGUGAUGAAGGUCUUCGGAUCGUAAAACUCUGUUAUUAGGGAAGAACAAAUGUGUAAGUAACUAUGCACGUCUUGACGGUACCUAAUCAGAAAGCCACGGCUAACUACGUGCCAGCAGCCGCGGUAAUACGUAGGUGGCAAGCGUUAU